UAGGGAAUCUUCGGCAAUGGACGAAAGUCUGACCGAGCAACGCCGCGCGAGUGAAGAAGGUUUUCGGAUCGUAAAACUCUGUUGUUAGAGAAGAACAAGGACGUUAGUAACUGAACGUCCCCUGACGGUAUCUAACCAGAAAGCCACGGCUAACUACGUGCCAGCAGCCGCGGUAAUACGUAGGUGGCAAGCGUUGUCCGGAUUUAUUGGGCGUAAAGCGAGCGCAGGCGGUUUCUUAAGUCUGAUGUGAAAGCCCCCGGCUCAACCGGGGAGGGUCAUUGGAAACUGGGAGACGUGAGUGCAGGAGAGGAGAGUGGAAUUCCAUGUGGAGCGGUGAAAUGCGUAGAUGUAUGGAGGAACACCAGUGGUGAAGGCGGCUCUCUGGUCUGUAACUGACGCUGAGGCUCGAAAGCGUGGGGAGCAAACAGG
This 429-nucleotide ribosomal RNA is filed under the name Gemmatimonadota bacterium. RNAcentral describes it as "Gemmatimonadetes bacterium partial 16S ribosomal RNA". It matches the Rfam family "Bacterial small subunit ribosomal RNA", at positions 355 to 776 of the family's 1533-position model. The record is from RNAcentral. Lineage: Bacteria; Pseudomonadati; Gemmatimonadota.